This 809-nucleotide long non-coding RNA is filed under the name Pan troglodytes (chimpanzee). Its description in RNAcentral is "lncRNA (ENSPTRG00000054383.1)". Lineage: Eukaryota; Metazoa; Chordata; Mammalia; Primates; Hominidae. The record is from RNAcentral.
CCUCAAGGGAUCCACCCGCGUCUGCCUCCCAAAGUGCUGGGAUUACAGGCAUGACCCACCGUGCCUGGGCAAGAUAUACUAAAUUUUUAUUCAGCUAAAAUACACAUCUCCGAAGACCCAUUAACUAGGAUUGCAGGGACUCUCACCUAUGGAGAAGACAGGUGUUGGUAGGAGGUAUGCUGGGAAGAGCUUUGCUAUAUCUCCGGAAGGAAGAAGAUUGUUUCCCCUCGGGGGAUGGCACUUUCAACAUGUGGGAGCUUGUCGGGUCACAGAAGAAUGACAGGUCACGGGAAGUCCUUCAUAGUGUUUCUGUGAAUAGCAGACUGUCACAGGUUGAGUCCCUUGGAACAUAGAUGCUGAGAUUUGCAUUAAGGAAGUUCAUUGAGGGGAGGUGAUGAUCUUUUGUGAACAAUACCUGUGAGUUGCGAAGGGAACAGGAUUUGGUGGAAGAAGAAAUCGCAGCAGAGGCCUCAGGUUGACUCUUAAGAACUGUCCACAUUGAGGCAUGAGGACAGGUCUUUGUACCCCUGCAUGAACCCAUCAUUGGGUGCAAGCUCUCUCCAAGAAGAAGGAAUGGCCUUAGGUGGGCCAUCUCCCUCUGGUCCAGAAUAACUCCUGGAGCUGUGAUACGUCCAGAUGGAGGAAUGAGCACCUCAUUCCCAAAGAGGAAUCUGGGCGGCACCCACUGCAGGGGUGAAAUUAUCAGAGCCAAGAGGCUACUCUAGAUGGGUGCUACUCUAGAUGACUGUAGACUGUUACAAGUCCUCGAUAAGAUGAAGAGCUUGCAUCAAAAUUUAAAGCAACACAAU